GGCCUCGUAGCUCAGUUGGUUAGAGCGUUGGUGUACUAAAGCCUUCCCCUUGCUAGCGUGGGUUCGAUUGCCACCGAGGCCA
RNAcentral lists this transfer RNA (82 nucleotides) under Schistocephalus solidus. It matches the Rfam family "tRNA". Rfam says of the family: Transfer RNA (tRNA) molecules are approximately 80 nucleotides in length. Their secondary structure includes four short double-helical elements and three loops (D, anti-codon, and T loops). The record is from Rfam by way of RNAcentral. Lineage: Eukaryota; Metazoa; Platyhelminthes; Cestoda; Diphyllobothriidea; Diphyllobothriidae.